GGGUCGGCUUUAGCUCAAGCGGUUACUUCGCGUGCAGUCUUCCCAGACUCCUAAUCCCUUCACGGGGGUUCGAGACCCGCGGGUGCUUUCUGACCCUUUU
This 100-nucleotide vault RNA is filed under the name Mustela putorius furo (domestic ferret). Its description in RNAcentral is "Vault RNA (ENSMPUG00000021196.1)". It matches the Rfam family "Vault RNA". From Rfam's summary of the family: This family of RNAs are found as part of the enigmatic vault ribonucleoprotein complex. The complex consists of a major vault protein (MVP), two minor vault proteins (VPARP and TEP1), and several small untranslated RNA molecules. The record is from Rfam by way of RNAcentral. Lineage: Eukaryota; Metazoa; Chordata; Mammalia; Carnivora; Mustelidae.